Molecule: ribosomal RNA, 361 nt
Filed under: uncultured bacterium
Lineage: Bacteria
Description: bacterial SSU rRNA
Rfam family: Bacterial small subunit ribosomal RNA
Source: RNAcentral
AAUCAACGCUGGCGGCGUGCCUAACACAUGCAAGUCGAACGCGAAAGCCCUUUCGGGGGUAAGUAGAGUGGCGUCCGGGUGAGUAACACGUAGGUAAUCUGCCUUCGGGUGGGGAAGUAACCAGUCGAAAGAUUGGCUAAUACCGCAUAAUGCAGCGGCACCUAAUGGUGAUUAGUUGUUAAAGCGGGGGAGUCUAAGACCUCGCGCCUGAAGAGGAGCCUGCGGCAGAUUAGCUAGNGGUUGAGGUAAUGGCUCACCAAGGCUUCGAUCUGUAGCUGGUCUGAGAGGACGGCCAGCCACACUGGCACUGACACACGGGCCAGACUCCUACGGGAGGCAGCAGUAAGGAAUAUUGCGCAAU